This 2697-nucleotide long non-coding RNA is filed under the name Homo sapiens (human). Its description in RNAcentral is "PREDICTED lncRNA (TCONS_00033951)". The record is from RNAcentral. Lineage: Eukaryota; Metazoa; Chordata; Mammalia; Primates; Hominidae.
GUGGAGAGGAUAAGGAGGGCCUCGCUUGGCUUCCUGCUGCUCCCCUGAUUAGAAGCCCUUCUAAGGGGAUCAAGGCUGUGACUGGCUAUGAGAAGAGAAAACUAAUGCUCCAUUUCCCACUCAGUCCCUGGGCUGCUGAACUCUUCCCCACCACUUGAGGAGGAGCUACGCUGGGAAGAGAUGAGCUGAUGCCCAGCUCAGCUGCUCUUCUGAGUCUUCAAUUUCCAGACCAACCUCCCUUAAGGUGACUGACAGUGGGGACCUCAACCUCACCUACAGGGAUGUGGACUGAUCCCAUGGUCUCAGUGAGAGACCCAGGCAAUAUUUCUACAUGAAGCAUGUUGGAUUUCUGAAUUAUCCAGCCUCAAAUGACACCGGGAUGGGACAGUGUUAACCCAGAUAAGAAAACUGAGGCUCUGAGAAGUUGAGGGACUUGGUCAAGGCCACAUGUCAGUGAGUGCCAGAAGUUUCUGCUACUCCUACAAAAUCAGAAGUUCCCCAAAUCCAAACCAUCUCGACCUACCCCUGUGACCCGCCAAAAGAAGCUGGCCUUCCCCAUCCUCCUGUCUCCGCAGUGCCAUUUGCCUUUCAGUCUCCUAAAAAGAAGCACUUACUCUCUUCCCCAAAUCGCAGAGGGAAGCUUCAAAUACACUUCUAAUCAUCCUCAGUACCCAGCAGUAUAUAGGAAGUUAUUGUCCCAAAGUUGUGUGUCAUGCCCGAAGUGUCUGGGAUCCCCGAGUGCCUGUGGUGCCCAAGAGCUAUGAAUCUGCUAUCAUCAACACAGAGGGUACCUUCUGAAUGGGCUAUGUCUACAGUGAUGCUGCAAAUGGAAGCUAACCCUAGGAUGACUGGCCUCUGACACUUGAGCCAUCCCAUCAUCUGUCAUGGGUUGACCCAUCCAUCCCCUCAAUGAGCCUGACCUUCAGGACCACUGACAGAGGAGCAGUCAAUAGAAAUUAAUUGUUAAAUACCCAGAAAAUCUGAAAUGGUAUUUAAUAUGCAGUUCAUCAAGAGCAAAAGUUCCUUAAAUCUUCAUCUAGAAAAGUUAUUUAUAAGGGAUGAAUAUGUUGUAUGAAUAUGUUGUAUGCAAAUAUUAUAUUCAAGGGCAAGACCAUGAAAACAGUUUAAGAAUCCGACAGGGAAUUAGAUAAAGACAUCGGAGUGCACUUGUCAAAAUACAGCUAUCAAGAAUGAUGAUGUUGAAAAAUAGUUUAGCAAUAUAAUUGUCUAGAACCACAGGGAGUCUGAGAUUUUACCCAACUUGUGAGUUAACAACUCUGCUAUAGCUUCAUGAAAGAAGACACAAGACUCCUGGGUCAGGAACAAAGGUCUCUAAUACUCACAGCAAUAUCAGGAGCCAGAAUUUCAGGAUCCUUUUUCCUGCCAGUUUCUCAAGUCCUAAUUACCACCGAGUUACAGGAAAGGGCCAGGUAACACUAGCACUGCCAUCAGUGGCUGUAUUACAGAACAGGAACUCCAAGCUUAGGAAACCCAAAUCUUUUAUAGUUAACAAUGAACACAUCUGCCAUUGUUCUGAAGGGAGACGCUACCCCAAUCUUCCACACCUGUUCACUAUAUAAAUAUCUGUGAAAAGAUAGACAGAAAAAUAGGUGGAGAAUGCCUCUGCUCACAAGAUGUGCAGAAACGUGAGAGGCUCAUGGAGAACUGUUUCCCUACAAUGACAAAAUGCUGACGAUAUAUUGUUAUGUAAAAUAAAGCAGGCAUUUUUCACCUCAUUUUCAUGAAAUAUAGUGUGUUUAUAUAGAUAUUUAGAAAAGUAUGAAAGGACAUUCAUCCAGAUAUCAAUAGAAGAGUUUAUUAUUUUUGCUAGUUGUAAGUUCAAACUUUUCUAGUAAAAAUAGAUUACUUGUGAAAUUAUUUUUAAUCUUUUUUUUUUUUUGAGAUGGAGUCUUGCUCUGUCGCCCAGGCUCGAGUGCAGUGGCAUGAUCUCAGCUCACUGCAACAUCCACCUCCUGGGUUCAAGCAAUUCUCCUGCCUCAGCCUCCUGAGUAGCUGGGAUUAUAGGUGCAUGCCACCAUGCCCAGCUAAUUUUUGUAUUUUUAGUAGAGACGGGAUUUCACCAUGUUGGUCAGGCUGGUCUCGAACUCCUGACCUCGUGAUCUGCCCACCUCGGCCUCCCAAAGUGCUAGAAUUACAGGUGUGAGCCACUGCACCCCUCCUAAAUGUCAAUUUAAUAACUGAGGGAGCCCUUAAAAUACCCCGCUGACUUCCACACGGGUGUGUAAAAUAGAAUCUGCUCACGUCUUAGAGGAGAUAAGUACAUGCUUAAUGUUCUUAGGAGAGACCUGCCUUUUGACAUGGAAGCUGUGGUAUUGUUGACAAGAGCAUACCUCCUUAAACCAUGCAAACCACGUUCACAUCAAAGCUGCCUACGAAUGAUUAUUUUCCAUGAUGCUAUGCUCCCUCCUGCCUGCCUCAGUGGCAAGUGUGACUCAGCAAGUGUAUCCAGGGCAUCCCUCACUCUUACUUAUUUUUGCCAAAUGCAGUGGAAAUGUAUAGACUUUUUUUCAUAUUUAUGUUGGCUGCAGAGCAUAAAUCUGAAUAGGUUCUCCAAAGUAAGCUUUUUCUGCAUGCAUUUGCUCCCAAUGAUGAUAGGUAUUAUGAAUUGCUUUAUAGUAAUCAUUAUCCUUUUCCAUAUGUUUUACGGUUAGUCUGUGCUAUAAACUUGUUUGAUUU